Molecule: ribosomal RNA, 301 nt
Filed under: uncultured bacterium
Lineage: Bacteria
Description: partial 16S ribosomal RNA
Rfam family: Bacterial small subunit ribosomal RNA
Source: RNAcentral
CGUAGCCACGGUAAUACGGAGGGUGCAAGCGUUAAUCGGAAUUACUGGGCGUAAAGCGCACGCAGGCGGUCUGACAAGUCAGAUGUGAAAUCCCCGGGCUUAACCUGGGAACUGCAUUUGAAACUGUCAGGCUGGAGUCUUGUAGAGGGGGGUGGAAUUCCAGGUGUAGCGGUGAAAUGCGUAGAGAUCUGGAGGAAUACCGGUGGCGAAGGCGGCCCCCUGGACAAAGACUGACGCUCAGGUGCGAAAGCGUGGGGAGCAAACAGGAUUAGAUACCCGCGUAGUCCCUGUCUCUUAUACA